RNAcentral lists this non-coding RNA (21 nucleotides) under Mus musculus (house mouse). Lineage: Eukaryota; Metazoa; Chordata; Mammalia; Rodentia; Muridae. The record is from RNAcentral.
UUUGUGUCAACUUGACACAGC